Molecule: ribosomal RNA, 1324 nt
Filed under: metagenome
Description: bacterial LSU rRNA
Rfam family: Bacterial large subunit ribosomal RNA
Source: RNAcentral
AGUGGAUGGGGAGCAACCUAGUUGUGCGUGUGUAAAGGUAGUGCCAAGAAAAGCGAUGAUCAUGUUGAAAAUCAAUUCCCGGUACCCGAGACCGACACAGGUGGGCAAGUAGAGAAUACUAAGGGGCGCGAGGUAACUCUCUCCAAGGAACUCGGCAAAAUGACCCCGUAACUUAGGGAGAAGGGGUGCCACCGAGAGGUGGUCGCAGUGAAGAGGCCCAGGCGACUGUUUAGCAAAAACAUAGGUCUCUGCAAACUCGAAAGAGGAGGUAUAGGGGCUGACGCCUGCCCAGUGCCGGAAGGUUAAAGAAGUUGGUCAGUUUUAGGAUGAAGCUAGCGACUGAAGCCCCGGUGAACGGCGGCCGUAUCUAUAACGGUCCUAAGGUAGCGAAAUUCCUUGUCGGGUAAGUUCCGACCCGCACGAAAGGCGUAACGAUCUGGGCGCUGUCUCGGAGAGAGGCUCGGCGAAAUAGGAUUGUCUGUGAAGAUACGGACUACCUGCAUUUGGACAGAAAGACCCUAUGAAGCUUUACUAUAGCUUGGAAUUGUGUUCGGGCUUCCUGUGCGCAGGAUAGGUGGGAGGCGUAGAAGGUAUUCUUGGGGAUACUGGAGCCAACGGUGAGAUACCACUCUCAGGAGGCUAGAAUUCUAACUUAAUUAAGGACAGUUUCAGGUGGGUAGUUUGACUGGGGCGGUCGCCUCCAAAAAGGUAACGGAGGCGUACAAAGGUUCCCUCAGACUGGUUGGAAAUCAGUCGAAGAGUGCAAAGGCAGAAGGGAGCUUGACUGCGAGAAGUACAGUUCGAGCAGGGUGGAAACACGGUCUUAGUGAUCCGACGGUGCUGUGUGGAAGGGCCGUCGCUCAACGGAUAAAAGUUACUCUAAGGAUAACAGGCUGAUCUCCCCCAAGAGUUCACAUCGACGGGGAGGUUUGGCACCUCGAUGUCGGCUCAUCGCAACCUGGGGCGGAAGUACGUCCCAAGGGUUGGGCUGUUCGCCCAUUAAAGCGGUACGUGAGCUGGGUUCAGAACGUCGUGAGACAGCUCGGUCCAUAUCCGAUGUAGGCGUGAGAAUAUUGAGAGGAGCCUUCCUUAGUACGAGAGGACCGGGAAGGACGCACCGCUGGUGUACCUGUUAUGAUGCCAAUUGUAAACGCAGGGUAGCCAAGUGCGGAGAGGAUAACCGCUGAAAGCAUCUAAGUGGGAAGCCCACCUCAAGAUGAGUAUUCUGGUGUAAGGUCACGGGAAGACGACCCGUAAAUAGGCACGAGGUGGAAGUGCAGAGAUGUAUGAAGCCGAAGUGUACAAAUAGACCGUCGGCUUGAUC